Molecule: transfer RNA, 67 nt
Filed under: Didemnum vexillum
Lineage: Eukaryota; Metazoa; Chordata; Ascidiacea; Aplousobranchia; Didemnidae
Description: tRNA-Leu
Source: RNAcentral
UAUGUAUAAGAUAAUAAAAUCUGUAAAUUUUAGGAAUUUAAAAUAUUUACAUUGUAAAUUACAUAUA